Misgurnus anguillicaudatus (oriental weatherfish) is the source of this 807-nucleotide non-coding RNA. The record is from RefSeq and is a predicted model, not a curated record. NCBI's taxonomy places the organism in Eukaryota, Metazoa, Chordata, Actinopteri, Cypriniformes, Cobitidae.
UAAACUGAUCGAGGGAAACUCAGCGUGUUUCUUUGUCUCUAUACCUGUUCCCUUAUUGCAGAUUUCAAAUAAGAUGAUAGACUGGGAGUGCAGGGUGUAAAAAGAUUCAUCGUUCAAGACUCCACCUCCUCAGACACCACAGACUAGAACAUAGACACUGCUCAAAAAUAAGUCCACUUCCAUCUUGAAGAUUCUGAAGUGCACAUUGAGAAGGAGCCACUGGAGCAAUAUACGGUUGUGCGUUACAGCUCUAAUGCCCAAAUGCAUAGUGACCCAGUGAAUGUCUCUGUUGUUCUUGAGGACGAAUUGGUCCACUCCCCACCCACAACCAACUUCCAGAGGCCUUUCUUGUCCUGUUUGGAUUCCAGUAUGCUUUUCACAUACAUAUUCCAAAAGGACUUGCAAAAACAUUUGUAUUUGUGCAAAAAACUUUUGCUUGGCAUGGAAGGUGGGAAACUGUCUCCUCGCCUGCAAACAUUAAAGAACGAGUUGAUGUGAAGCAUAACUUGUACUACCUCAGCACACACAAAAGACAAAAAGAGUUACUUAAAUGUUAUCUAACUGAUGUUACUUAGAUUUUUUACUUAUAUCUUCUUAGUUCUUAUUGAGAAGUUAUUGUAUUAACAAACCGGUUCAGUUUAAGAAAUUGUCAUGUUUAAUGCAACUGUGUGGUGUUAAUAUAUAAAGUUGGCUGUUAAGCAUUACUUGCUCAUUUCUCAUUUUAUAAAAUGCUGUUAAACAGUUUGAGCCUGUUAAAAGGUAUGUUGUGUUGCUAAGAGAAUUUAAUUUUUGACUGGAAAAUAUUAA